This 468-nucleotide ribosomal RNA is filed under the name uncultured bacterium. RNAcentral's name for it is "partial 16S ribosomal RNA". It matches the Rfam family "Bacterial small subunit ribosomal RNA", at positions 28 to 507 of the family's 1533-position model. The record is from RNAcentral.
GACGAACGCUGGCGGCGUGCUUAACACAUGCAAGUCGAACGGAAAGGCCCUGCUUUUGUGGGGUGCUCGAUUGGCGAACGGGUGAGUAACACGUGAGUAACCUGCCCUUGACUUUGGUAUAACUUCAGGAAACUGGGGCUAAUACCGUAUAGGAGCUCCUGCUGCAGGGUGGGGGUUGGAAAGUUUCGGCGGUUGGGGAUGGACUCGCGGCUGAUCAGCUUGCUGGUGGGGUAGUUGCUUACCAAGGCUUUGACGGGUAGCCCGCAUGAGAGGGUGACCGGCGACCAUGGGACUAAGAUACGGAGCAGACUCCUACAGGAGGCAGCAGUGGCAAAUAUUGCACAAUGGGAGGAAGUCUGAUGCAGCGACGCUGCGUGCGGGAUGACGGCCUUCGGGUUGUGAACCGCUUUAGCCUGUGACGAAGCGUGAGUGACGGUAAUGGAUAAAGAAGCACCGGCUAACUACGUG